This 339-nucleotide long non-coding RNA is filed under the name Pan troglodytes (chimpanzee). Its description in RNAcentral is "long non-coding RNA NONPTRT003548". Lineage: Eukaryota; Metazoa; Chordata; Mammalia; Primates; Hominidae. The record is from RNAcentral.
AGUAUAAUAUUUAUACUAUAAAGUAAUAAUAAAUAAUCUGGAAAUAUUCUUGACAUUAAUAAAAUAGCUCACAGCUCUUCCUAUUCUUACUGUAUUUCAAUUUCCAUUCUGAUGUUUAUGUAUUUCAUUUAUUGUGCUCUCUCUCAACAACCAUAUGAACUUGGCACUGUACUUAUCAUCUUCAUUUUAUGCAUUAAGAAACAAAGCCAUAAGAAGUUAAUCAACUGGUUCAAGGUUACAGAGCUAGUCAUUGGCAGAGCUCAGAUAUGAAUCCAGAAAGUCUAAUUCCAGACCCACAUCUAUAACUGCUGCUACACACAUUUGUCAUUAUUGGUGAAA